Molecule: ribosomal RNA, 97 nt
Filed under: uncultured archaeon
Lineage: Archaea
Description: partial 16S ribosomal RNA
Source: RNAcentral
CUCCCCCGUUGCCGAGCUAAGAUUCGAUGACGCCAAGAAAGACGCAACCUCGUCCUAGCCCAACUUCGGUGAAGCGACGGGCGGUGUGUGCAAGGAG